CGCGGGUUCUCCGGGCGCCCGCUUUCUUAGCCCCGGGAUCCCCGUUUAGCGUGGCCUGGGAUACUUUCCUGUAUCCGUCAGGAAGAAAAGCCCGAGGCAGGAGAGGGCCGCCGCCCAGGCCCCGGUGGGAGUCUGACACCCUCUUCUGGCACUUUAUCAAGCAGAAGCAGUUACGGCAUCAUCUGACUUCCUAGUAUUUUUGUCUGCUUUCUAGAGAAGUAGGGCAAAGAGGAAAGAUGAAGAACCUCGGUCUUGGAAUCCUUUCCCUGGAAAGCCCAUGAGACAGAUCACAGUGGUCAGCAGACUAUGGAUGGGAGCAAACUUCACUGUGACUAGGAAUAAGUCUCCCGGGAAGCUCAACAGCCACUACUCCACAAGCUACCUUUACCAUCCUCAGCAGGACCAGCAGUCUUGGUAGCUGCGGCCACUGUAGGUUCUAACCAUAAUUAAAUGUACAUGAUUCAUGAAUUGAGUAAAGACUUAAAAAAUUUUUUAACUUGCACUUUAAUUAAAUGUAUGUGGGUGUUAUCUCACAUUUUUUUCUUUAAAAAAUUUUUUUUUAGUUAAGGUAUAAUUGAUAUAUGACAAAUUAGUUUCAGGUAUAUGACUUAUUAAUGAUUUGAUUGAUACUGGUAUAUACUGUAAAAUGAUCACAAUAUGUCUAGUUAGCAUUGGUCACCUUACACAGUUAAAUUUUUUUUCUUGUGAUUGAGAACUUUUAAGAUGUACUCUUUUAGCAACUUUCAAAUACACAGUACAGUAUUAUUAACUAUCAUCUUCAUGCUGUAUAUUCCAUCUCCCCAUGACUUAUUUAUAUCCAGACAAGUUUGUACCUUUUGAUCCCCUUCACCCAUUUUUCCCACUCCCCCACCUCCUGCCUCUGACAACCACCAAUCUGUUCCUUGUAUUUAUGAGCUUGGUUUUGGUUUUGGAUUCCACAUGUAACUGAGAUCGUACGGUGUUUGUCUUCCUCUGUGUGAUUUGUUUCACUUAGUAAAAUGCCCUCGAGGUCCAUCCAUGUUGUUAUAAAUGGCAGGAUUUCCUCCUUUAUGGCUUAAUAUUCCAUUGUGUGUGUAUAUAUAUAUGCCACAAUUUCUUAUCCGUCAGUGGACACUUAGAUUGUUUCCUUAUCUUGGCUGUUGUCAAUAAUGCUAUUACAAUAAUACUAUUGCAAAUAAUACCACAAAUAAACAUGGGAGUGAAGAUACCUUUUUGGGUUAGUUUUCAUUUUCUUUGGAUCAAUUCCCAGAAGUAAAAUGGCUGGAUCAUAUGGUAGUUCUAUUUUUAAUUUUUUGAGGCACCUCCCAACCAUUUUCCAUAGUAGCUGCACCAACUUACAUUCCCACCAAUGGUGCACAGGGGCUCUCUUGUCUCCACAUCCUCACCAACAUUUCCUGUUUUUUUUAUAAUAGCUAUUCUAACAGUUGUGAGAUGAUACACAUUGUGGUUUUCAUUUGCAUUUCCCUGAUGAUUAGGGAUGUGGAGCAUCUUUUCAGGUACCUCUUGGCCACUUCUUCCUUGGAGAAAUGUCUAUUCAGAUCUUCUGUCCAUUUUUUAAUCAGAUUGUUUGCUUUUUGCUAUUGAGUUGUAUGAGUUCUUUAUAUAUUUUGGAUACUAAGCCCCAUCAGGUACCUGGUUUGCAAAUAUUUUCUUCCAUCCAGUAGGUUGCCUUUUCAUUGUGUUAAUGGUUUCCUUUGCUGAGCAGCAGCUUUGAGUUCGAUGUCAUCCCACCUGUUUAUUUUUGCUUUUGGUGUCAUUCAAAAACACCUCACCGAGAGCUAUCUCAUGGGGCUACUGCCUGUUCUCUUCGUUUUAUGGCUUCAGGUCUCAUGUCCAAGACUUUAGUCCAUUUUGAGUUAAUUUUUGUGUAUGGUAUAAGACAGUAAUCUAGUUUCAUUCUUUUGCAUGUAGCUGUCCAGUUUUCCCACCACCAUUUAUUGAAGAAACUGACCUUUCCCCUUGUAUAUUCUUGGCUCCUUUGUCACAAUUAAACAUAUAUAGGUAUCCCCAGUUUUUUUUAAAGUUUGAGUUAUUCUACUUAGCUUUUAGGAAAGACCUACAUUUGUACCUGUUUUCUCUAACCAAAAGAAAUCUGAAGAGGAUUUUUAUUUUUAUGAGAAAAGAUAAAAAACAAAAGUAUUUGUCAUUUUGCAGUGAGCUGUUACAGAGACAGCUUUCCCCUGAGCAGCAAGAGCAGCCCCACCCAGCUCCUGCUCUGGGAAUUAGUAUCUCAGCAGCAAGCUGCCAGACAUUUGAACUAAGCCUCUAUGCUGUAUCUUGAUUUAGUCGGUGCAUCUGCCAGGAAGAUGUGUCCCUAAAGUACCUGAAAAGCCUAACAGGUUAUUUUUUGGGUCUGGAGUGCCAAAAAAACACAUCCAUAUGAAUGAAUGGCAAUUCUCUGCUUUAUAUCAUAUUGAGUUACUGAAGGUUUCAUAGGAAUUUUCCACUUUUGGACGUGAGAAACCUGUAUGUGUGGGUUACUGGGCUCUCUGUUCCAUUCAUCUUUCUGUUGUACCAGUACCAUACUGUUUUGAUUAGUAUAGCUUUAAGUUUGAAACCAGGGAGCAUGAUGCCUCCUGCUUUGGCUAAUUGGGGUCUUUUGUAGUUCCAUACAAAUUUCAGAAUUGUUCUAUUUUUUUGAAAAAUGCCAUUGACUUUUGAUAGGGAUUGCAUUGAUGCUGUAAAUCAUUUUGGGUAGUGUGGCCAUUUCAACAAUAUUAAUUUUCCCAAUCCAUAAACACUACCUUUGCACUUAUAUCUUCAGUUUCUUUCAUUACUAUCUUAGUUUUCACUGUGUAUGUCUUUCACCUUGGUUAGUUUACUUCUUGGUAUUUUAUUCUUUUUGAUGCACUUGUAAAUAAGAUUGUUUCCUUUAUUUCUCUGAUAGCUCAUUAUUACUAUGUAAGACAUGCAACACACUUUUGUAUCUUGGUUUUCAAUCCUGUAACCUUACUGAAUUUUUCUGAGUAUUUGGUGGUGUCUUUAGGUUUUCUAUAUAUAGUACCAUGUCAUCUGCAAAUAGUCAUGGCUUUGCUUCUGCCUUUCCAAUUUGGAUGCCUUUUGUCUCUUCAUCUUGUCUGAUUACCCUGGCUAGGACUUCCAGGGCUAUGUUGAAUGAAAGUAGUGAGACUGGGCAUCCUUGUUCUGUUUCUGUUCUGAGUAAAAGCAUUCAGCUUUUCACCAUUAUGUUAGUUGUGGGCUUGUCAUACAUAGCCUUUAUAAUGUUGAGGUACAUUCCCUCUAUACCCACUGUUUUUGUCAUAAAUGGAUGUCGAAUUUUGUCAAAUGUUUCUUCUGCAUCUGUUAAGGUGAUUAUAGGAUUUUUUCAUUUUGUUAGUCUAUCAUACUGACUUGUGGAUGUUGGUAUCUUGCAUCCCUGGGAUAAAUCCUACUUGGUCAUGGUGUAUGAUCCUUUUAAUGUAUUGUUAAAUUCAGUUUGCAGAUAUUUUGUUGAGGAUGAAUAAAGGCUUUUAACACUUGGAAUAAACAUCUGAUGGGGAGGCUCUUAAGGAAAAGAGCCUAUCUGGUUUGAGUAUAACGUUUAAUGUUAAGAUACAGCAGAUAAGCAGUGUUGGUACAAAAUUAAGGUUCAAUUCUAGUCAAAGAGUUACAGCCUAGGCACCUAGAUAAAAUAUUGGUCCUGUCACCCA
Molecule: long non-coding RNA, 3650 nt
Organism: Manis pentadactyla (Chinese pangolin)
Lineage: Eukaryota; Metazoa; Chordata; Mammalia; Pholidota; Manidae
Exons: 3
Source: RefSeq, a predicted model, not a curated record